GUUGGACCUAACAUCAAUCAGACAUUCGUCUCUGUACUCACUAGUUGUCCAACAACCUCUCCUUUAAAAAUGUUCAAGCUGAUCGUCCUCGCCUGCCUGAUGGCCUUCGCCGCCGCCAAGCCCCAAGUGCUCGCCCCGGUGGCGUACACAGCGGGAUAUACCCCCGUGGCCGCCGCAUACACCGCCCCUCUCGCAUACUCCGCAUACACCGCCCCCGUUGCUGCCUACUCUCCCUACACGUAUGCUUCACCUUAUGCCGCAUACUAUCUGCGUCGCUGAGCUACGAAGGACUAGUCAAUGAUUUAGGCAAAUUACUUAUGGCGAUCAAUAAAGCAAUGUGAACACAAUAAUA
This is a long non-coding RNA of Pectinophora gossypiella (pink bollworm), 352 nucleotides long. RefSeq lists it as uncharacterized. The record is from RefSeq and is a predicted model, not a curated record. The transcript is spliced from 2 exons. NCBI's taxonomy places the organism in Eukaryota, Metazoa, Arthropoda, Insecta, Lepidoptera, Gelechiidae.